UUUGCACUGAGUAAACGAAGUAGCCACGGGUUCUGGCUGCGGACUCCAAGCGUAUGCGGGCUCAGGACCUACACGCGGGGCACAAUUCCCUCCUCUUGGGGUCGCUGGUCCUGGAGGCGCUGAGACCGUGAAG
Molecule: non-coding RNA, 133 nt
Organism: Myotis brandtii (Brandt's bat)
Lineage: Eukaryota; Metazoa; Chordata; Mammalia; Chiroptera; Vespertilionidae
Source: Rfam